GACGAACGCUGGCGGCGUGCUUAACACAUGCAAGUCGAACGGAAAGGCUCCAGCUUGCUGUAGUACUCGAGUGGCGAACGGGUGAGUAACACGUGGGUAAUCUGCCCUGCACUCUGGGAUAAGCCUGGGAAACUGGGUCUAAUACUGGAUAUGACCUUUCUCCUUAUGGGGUUUGGUGGAAAGUUUUUCGGUGUAGGAUGAGCCCGCGGCCUAUCAGCUUGUUGGUGGGGUGAUGGCCUACCAAGGCGACGACGGGUAGCCGGCCUGAGAGGGUGAUCGGCCACAUUGGGACUGAGAUACGGCCCAGACUCCUACGGAAGGCAGCAGUGGGGAAUAUUGCACAAUGGGCGGAAGCCUGAUGCAGCGACGCCGCGUGAGGGAUGACGGCCUUCGGGUUGUAAACCUCUUUCAGCAGGGACGAAGCGUAAGUGACGGUACCUGCAGAAGAAGCACCGGCUAACUAUGUG
Molecule: ribosomal RNA, 467 nt
Filed under: uncultured bacterium
Lineage: Bacteria
Description: partial 16S ribosomal RNA
Rfam family: Bacterial small subunit ribosomal RNA
Source: RNAcentral